RNAcentral lists this ribosomal RNA (450 nucleotides) under uncultured bacterium. RNAcentral's name for it is "partial 16S ribosomal RNA". It matches the Rfam family "Bacterial small subunit ribosomal RNA", at positions 354 to 796 of the family's 1533-position model. The record is from RNAcentral.
GUGGGGAAUAUUGGACAAUGGGCGAAAGCCUGAUCCAGCCAUGCCGCGUGUGUGAAGAAGGUCUUCGGAUUGUAAAGCACUUUAAGUUGGGAGGAAGGGCAGUAAGUUAAUACCUUGCUGUUUUGACGUUACCGACAGAAUAAGCACCGGCUAACUUCGUGCCAGCAGCCGCGGUAAUACGAAGGGUGCAAGCGUUAAUCGGAAUAACUGGGCGUAAAGCGCGCGUAGGUGGUUUUGUAAGUUGGAGGUGAAAUCCCCGGGCUCAACCUGGGAACUGCCUCCAAAACUGCAUGACUAGAGUACGGUAGAGGGUAGUGGAAUUUCCUGUGUAGCGGUGAAAUGCGUAGAUAUAGGAAGGAACACCAGUGGCGAAGGCGACUACCUGGACUGAUACUGACACUGAGGUGCGAAAGCGUGGGGAGCAAACAGGAUUAGAAACCCCUGUAGUCC